RNAcentral lists this ribosomal RNA (2889 nucleotides) under Aeromonas hydrophila. RNAcentral's name for it is "23S ribosomal RNA". It matches the Rfam family "Bacterial large subunit ribosomal RNA". Lineage: Bacteria; Pseudomonadati; Pseudomonadota; Gammaproteobacteria; Aeromonadales; Aeromonadaceae. The record is from RNAcentral.
GGUUAAGUGACUAAGCGUACAUGGUGGAUGCCUUGGCAGUCAGAGGCGAUGAAGGACGUACUAACCUGCGAUAAGCCGUGAGCAGUCGGUAAGAGACAUUACGACUCACGGAUUUCCGAAUGGGGAAACCCACUUAGCAUAAGCUAGGUAUCGCUACGUGAAUACAUAGCGUAGCGAGGCGAACCGGGAGAACUGAAACAUCUAAGUACCCCGAGGAAAAGAAAUCAACCGAGAUUCCCUCAGUAGCGGCGAGCGAACGGGGAUUAGCCCUUAAGCAUCUUGGAAGUUAGUGGAACGGUCCUGGAAAGGCCGGCGAUACAGGGUGAUAGCCCCGUACACGAAAACAACCUUGAUGUGAAAUCGAGUAGGGCGGGACACGUGACAUCCUGUCUGAAUAUGGGGGGACCAUCCUCCAAGGCUAAAUACUCCUGACUGACCGAUAGUGAACCAGUACCGUGAGGGAAAGGCGAAAAGAACCCCUGUGAGGGGAGUGAAAUAGAACCUGAAACCGUGUACGUACAAGCAGUGGGAGCCCUUCGGGGUGACUGCGUACCUUUUGUAUAAUGGGUCAGCGACUUACAUUUUGUAGCGAGGUUAACCGUAUAGGGGAGCCGUAGGGAAACCGAGUCUUAACUGGGCGUCUAGUUGCAAGGUGUAGACCCGAAACCGGGUGAUCUAGCCAUGGGCAGGUUGAAGGUUGAGUAACAUCAACUGGAGGACCGAACCCACUAACGUUGCAAAGUUAGGGGAUGACCUGUGGCUGGGGGUGAAAGGCCAAUCAAACUCGGAGAUAGCUGGUUCUCCCCGAAAGCUAUUUAGGUAGCGCCUCGGACGAAUACUACUGGGGGUAGAGCACUGUUUGGGCUAGGGGGUCAUCCCGACUUACCAACCCCAUGCAAACUCCGAAUACCAGUAAGUAAUAUCCGGGAGACACACGGCGGGUGCUAACGUCCGUCGUGAAGAGGGAAACAACCCAGACCGCCGGCUAAGGUCCCAAAGUUCUGGUUAAGUGGGAAACGAUGUGGGAAGGCUCAGACAGCUAGGAUGUUGGCUUAGAAGCAGCCAUCAUUUAAAGAAAGCGUAAUAGCUCACUAGUCGAGUCGGCCUGCGCGGAAGAUGUAACGGGGCUCAAACCAGGCACCGAAGCCGCGGAUUCACACUAAGUGUGAGUGGUAGGGGAGCGUUCUGUAAGUCUGCGAAGGUGUGUCGAGAGGCAUGCUGGAGAUAUCAGAAGUGCGAAUGCUGACGUAAGUAACGAUAAAGGGGGUGAAAAGCCUCCUCGCCGGAAGACCAAGGGUUCCUGUCCAACGUUAAUCGGGGCAGGGUGAGUCGACCCCUAAGGCGAGGCCGAAAGGCGUAGUCGAUGGGAAGCAGGUUAAUAUUCCUGCACGACUUGUAAUUGCGAUGGGGGGACGGAGAAGGCUAGGUGGGCCAGGCGACGGUUGUCCUGGUGAAAGUGCGUAGGUGGUGUUUCUAGGCAAAUCCGGAGACACAACACUGAGACACGAGACGAACACACUACGGUGUGGAAGCCAUUGAUGCCCUGCUUCCAGGAAAAGCCUCUAAGCUUCAGAUUACAAGUCAUCGUACCCCAAACCGACACAGGUGGUCGGGUAGAGAAUACCAAGGCGCUUGAGAGAACUCGGGUGAAGGAACUAGGCAAAAUAGAACCGUAACUUCGGGAGAAGGUUCGCUCUUGACAGUGAAGUCCCUUGCGGAUGGAGCAGUUGGGAGUCGCAGUGACCAGAUGGCUGGGACUGUUUAUCAAAAACACAGCACUCUGCAAACACGAAAGUGGACGUAUAGGGUGUGACACCUGCCCGGUGCCGGAAGGUUAAUUGAUGGGGUUAGCGCAAGCGAAGCUCUUGAUCGAAGCCCCGGUAAACGGCGGCCGUAACUAUAACGGUCCUAAGGUAGCGAAAUUCCUUGUCGGGUAAGUUCCGACCUGCACGAAUGGUGUAACCAUGGCCAUGCUGUCUCCACCCGAGACUCAGUGAAAUCGAAUUCGCCGUGAAGAUGCGGUGUACCCGCGGCUAGACGGAAAGACCCCGUGAACCUUUACUACAGCUUGGCACUGAACAUUGAACCUACAUGUGUAGGAUAGGUGGGAGGCUUUGAAGGCGUGACGCCAGUUGCGCUGGAGCCGUCCUUGAAAUACCACCCUUGUAUGUUUGAUGUUCUAACGCAGGCCCGUGAAUCCGGGUCGCGGACAGUGCCUGGUGGGUAGUUUGACUGGGGCGGUCUCCUCCCAAAGAGUAACGGAGGAGCACGAAGGUUGGCUAAUCCUGGUCGGACAUCAGGAGGUUAGUGCAAUGGCAUAAGCCAGCUUAACUGCGAGACGGACAGGUCGAGCAGGUACGAAAGUAGGUCAUAGUGAUCCGGUGGUUCUGAAUGGAAGGGCCAUCGCUCAACGGAUAAAAGGUACUCCGGGGAUAACAGGCUGAUACCGCCCAAGAGUUCAUAUCGACGGCGGUGUUUGGCACCUCGAUGUCGGCUCAUCACAUCCUGGGGCUGAAGUCGGUCCCAAGGGUAUGGCUGUUCGCCAUUUAAAGUGGUACGCGAGCUGGGUUCAGAACGUCGUGAGACAGUUCGGUCCCUAUCUGCCGUGGGCGUUGGAUGAUUGAAGGGAGUUGCUCCUAGUACGAGAGGACCGGAGUGAACGAACCUCUGGUGUUCGGGUUGUCACGCCAGUGGCACUGCCCGGUAGCUAAGUUCGGAAUCGAUAACCGCUGAAAGCAUCUAAGCGGGAAGCGAGCCCUGAGAUGAGUCAUCCCUGACCCCUUGAGGGUCCUAAAGGGCCGUUGGAGACCACAACGUUGAUAGGUGGGGUGUGUAAGCGCGGCGACGUGUUGAGCUAACCCAUACUAAUUACCCGUGAGGCUUAACCAU